CGAAUGCUGACAUAAGUAACGAUAAAGCGGGUGAAAAGCCCGCUCGCCGGAAGACCAAGGGUUCCUGUCCAACGUUAAUCGGGGCAGGGUGAGUCGACCCCUAAGGCGAGGCCGAAAGGCGUAGUCGAUGGGAAACAGGUUAAUAUUCCUGUACUUGGUGUUACUGCGAAGGGGGGACGGAGAAGGCUAUGUUGGCCGGGCGACGGUUGUCCCGGUUUAAGCGUGUAGGCUGGUUUUCCAGGCAAAUCCGGAAAAUCAAGGCUGAGGCGUGAUGACGAGGCACUACGGUGCUGAAGCAACAAAUGCCCUGCUUCCAGGAAAAGCCUCUAAGCAUCAGGUAACAUCAAAUCGUACCCCAAACCGACACAGGUGGUCAGGUAGAGAAUACCAAGGCGCUUGAGAGAACUCGGGUGAAGGAACUAGGCAAAAUGGUGCCGUAACUUCGGGAGAAGGCACGCUGAUAUGUAGGUGAAGUCCCUCGCGGAUGGAGCUGAAAUCAGUCGAAGAUACCAGCUGGCUGCAACUGUUUAUUAAAAACACAGCACUGUGCAAACACGAAAGUGGACGUAUACGGUGUGACGCCUGCCCGGUGCCGGAAGGUUAAUUGAUGGGGUUAGCGCAAGCGAAGCUCUUGAUCGAAGCCCCGGUAAACGGCGGCCGUAACUAUAACGGUCCUAAGGUAGCGAAAUUCCUUGUCGGGUAAGUUCCGACCUGCACGAAUGGCGUAAUGAUGGCCAGGCUGUCUCCACCCGAGACUCAGUGAAAUUGAACUCGCUGUGAAGAUGCAGUGUACCCGCGGCAAGACGGAAAGACCCCGUGAACCUUUACUAUAGCUUGACACUGAACAUUGAGCCUUGAUGUGUAGGAUAGGUGGGAGGCUUUGAAGUGUGGACGCCAGUCUGCAUGGAGCCGACCUUGAAAUACCACCCUUUAAUGUUUGAUGUUCUAACGUUGACCCGUAAUCCGGGUUGCGGACAGUGUCUGGUGGGUAGUUUGACUGGGGCGGUCUCCUCCUAAAGAGUAACGGAGGAGCACGAAGGUUGGCUAAUCCUGGUCGGACAUCAGGAGGUUAGUGCAAUGGCAUAAGCCAGCUUGACUGCGAGCGUGACGGCGCGAGCAGGUGCGAAAGCAGGUCAUAGUGAUCCGGUGGUUCUGAAUGGAAGGGCCAUCGCUCAACGGAUAAAAGGUACUCCGGGGAUAACAGGCUGAUACCGCCCAAGAGUUCAUAUCGACGGCGGUGUUUGGCACCUCGAUGUCGGCUCAUCACAUCCUGGGGCUGAAGUAGGUCCCAAGGGUAUGGCUGUUCGCCAUUUAAAGUGGUACGCGAGCUGGGUUUAGAACGUCGUGAGACAGUUCGGUCCCUAUCUGCCGUGGGCGCUGGAGAACUGAGGGGGGCUGCUCCUAGUACGAGAGGACCGGAGUGGACGCAUCACUGGUGUUCGGGUUGUCAUGCCAAUGGCACUGCCCGGUAGCUAAAUGCGGAAGAGAUAAGUGCUGAAAGCAUCUAAGCACGAAACUUGCCCCGAGAUGAGUUCUCCCUGACUCCUUGAGAGUCCUGAAGGAACGUUGAAGACGACGACGUUGAUAGGCCGGAUGUGUAAGCGCAGCGAUGCGUUGAGCUAACCGGUACUAAUGAACCGUGAGGCUUAACCUUACAACGCCGAAGCUGUU
Molecule: ribosomal RNA, 1671 nt
Filed under: Escherichia coli
Lineage: Bacteria; Pseudomonadati; Pseudomonadota; Gammaproteobacteria; Enterobacterales; Enterobacteriaceae
Description: partial 23S ribosomal RNA
Rfam family: Bacterial large subunit ribosomal RNA
Source: RNAcentral